GUCGGGGGUUUAGAAGGUGGGCGCGAUGUUGGAGCCGGGAACCCUCCCUCGGAGCCCCUGGCCCGAGUUGCGCAGAGCCUGCGGCAACAGGCCACCCGAAAGUGUCCGAGCGCCUCGCGGGACUGCGUCGAGGGAAACAGUGUCCCUUGAAAGUGCGACGGAGGGGAGAAGGAGGUGUGAUUAAUAUGAGCAUCUGGGAGCGUGGAGCAGGGCCUGCAGUACUUCCUACCACUGGCCUUCCGUGUUCUGGAUCAUUCUUACUGGAUCUAUCAGCAAACAGCAUGCAAGUGCCAGCGUCCAAUCAUUCCUGCAUGGAAUGCCAUCAGACUUCCUCAGUUGGAGUUACUUAAAAGUUAAAUUGUUGGGAUUUUUGAUAAUGCCUUUCCCAUGUGGAUUACUACAAUUUGAUGGCUCAGGAACUCUCCACUCAGAAGGUGACCUGACCGCAGAAGUGCUAACUCCUGUUUAUUCAGGAAAGACUUCCGACUGGGGAAGACUUCCAGGUGUGAAUCAUGAGAGAGCGGAGAGGCCUGUGAUUUACGUUUUGGAGGGCAUGCCUGAGUGUGAUUAAGGGAUUUAAGUGCAGGACUCUAAGAUUUACUUCCUUCCUGUUCCAGCAGGGUUACCUGAAGGAGUGAGUAAUGGGGUAAUUUAUAACACCACAGGCUCUUUGUCAAGACCACUAGUCAAAACAGGAAGAUCAAACUCAGGUUUCAAUGGGCAGACUACAACUUUUGAUACUCUCUGGACAUCCUUCUUAAUUAUAAGUGGAAGAUCUUCAAGAAUUUUCCUAAGGAGAUGUCCAAAGGUGCAGCAUUUCUGGUUCCUUCGAGAGGGUGAGGAGAGCCUGCAGGCAUGCUGUGCACCUCUGCAAUUGCUAGUCCCAGGGUCACAGCAAGUGGAAGUGCAGAGCACCACAAACUGCUUUGAGCAGAGCCCACUUCCUUCAUCCCGGAGAGCAUGGAGCCGUUACACCAACAUCAAUCAAGGGGGACCCAGGCGCUGCACUCACACAGUUGAAGCAGGGGAGCAAAUCGAAGACUCACCCAGGAGCAGAGUGCUUUUGAGACAGAGGAAGAAGACAAAACAGCUCCCAGCUCAGCUUCUCUUGCCAUAUUCAGGAAUCACCACACGUGCUGUUAUAUUGGGCCUCAUUUUGUUUCCCUUUCCCCAACACCUGUGUGCUGUGCUUGUGGUGAGUCUUCACAGCCAAGUACAAUUUUUCCAGUUCAACUCCACUGAUCACUAUCAACAAGAAAGUGUAAGGCCAUCACUGUAUUGGAAAAUUGUCUGUCCCUGAUCAUGGACUUAAAAACUGAACUGGCUUUGAGUGAGUUGCUUCUCCUUCAGUGAAUUGUGG
Molecule: long non-coding RNA, 1360 nt
Filed under: Heterocephalus glaber (naked mole-rat)
Lineage: Eukaryota; Metazoa; Chordata; Mammalia; Rodentia; Bathyergidae
Description: lncRNA (ENSHGLG00000031518.2)
Source: RNAcentral